GAGGGUAUAGCUCAAGUGGUUAGAGUACAUGCUUAGCAUGCAGAGGUCCUGGGUUCAAUCCCUAGUACCGCCU
Molecule: transfer RNA, 73 nt
Filed under: Camelus bactrianus (Bactrian camel)
Lineage: Eukaryota; Metazoa; Chordata; Mammalia; Artiodactyla; Camelidae
Also listed under: 2 other names
Rfam family: tRNA
About the family: Transfer RNA (tRNA) molecules are approximately 80 nucleotides in length. Their secondary structure includes four short double-helical elements and three loops (D, anti-codon, and T loops).
Source: Rfam by way of RNAcentral